AUUGAACGCUGGCGGCAUGCCUUACACAUGCAAGUCGAACGGCAGCACGGGUGCUUGCUCCUGGUGGCGAGUGGCGAACGGGUGAGUAAUACAUCGGAACAUGUCCUGUAGUGGUGGAUAGCCCGGCGAAAGCCGGAUUAAUACCGCAUACGAUCUACGGAUGAAAGCGGGGGACCUUCGGGCCUCGCGCUGUAGGGUUGGCCGAUGGCUGAUUAGCUCGUUGGUGGGGUAAAGGCCUACCAAGGCGACGAUCAGUAGCUGGUCUGAGAGGACGACCAGCCACACUAGGACUGAGACACGGCCCAGACUCCUACGGGAGGCAGCAGUGGGGAAUUUUGGACAAUGGGCGAAAGCCUGAUCCAGCAAUGCCGCGUGUGUGAAGAAGGCCUUCGGGUUGUAAAGCACUUUUGUCCGGAAAGAAAUCCUUGGCCCUAAUACGGUCGGGGGAUGACGGUACCGGAAGAAUAAGCACCGGCUAACUACGUG
Molecule: ribosomal RNA, 486 nt
Filed under: uncultured bacterium
Lineage: Bacteria
Description: partial 16S ribosomal RNA
Rfam family: Bacterial small subunit ribosomal RNA
Source: RNAcentral